Molecule: ribosomal RNA, 422 nt
Filed under: uncultured Acetivibrio sp.
Lineage: Bacteria; Bacillati; Bacillota; Clostridia; Acetivibrionales; Acetivibrionaceae
Description: bacterial SSU rRNA
Rfam family: Bacterial small subunit ribosomal RNA
Source: RNAcentral
UGGGGGGAUAUUGCGCAAUGGGGGAAACCCUGACGCAGCAACGCCGCGUGAAGGAAGAAGGUUUUCGGAUCGUAAACUUCUUUAAGUGGGGAAGAUAAUGACGGUACCCACAGAAUAAGCCACGGCUAACUACGUGCCAGCAGCCGCGGUAAUACGUAGGUGGCAAGCGUUGUCCGGAUUUACUGGGUGUAAAGGGCGUGUAGGCGGGAUUGCAAGUCAGAUGUGAAAGACCGGGGCUCAACUCCGGGGCUGCAUUUGAAACUGCAGUUCUUGAGUGUCGGAGAGGAAAGCGGAAUUCCUAGUGUAGCGGUGAAAUGCGUAGAUAUUAGGAGGAACACCGGUGGCGAAGGCGGCUUUCUGAACGAUAACUGACGCUGAGACGCGAAAGCGUGGUAGCAAACAGGAUUAGAUACCCUGGUAGU